AGAGUUUGAUCCUGGCUCAGGAUGAACGCUAGCUACAGGCUUAACACAUGCAAGUCGAGGGGCAGCAUGACCUAGCAAUAGGUUGAUGGCGACCGGCGCACGGGUGAGUAACACGUAUCCAACCUACCGGUUAUUCCGGGAUAGCCUUUCGAAAGAAAGAUUAAUACCGGAUAGUAUAGCGAGAAGGCAUCUUCUUGUUAUUAAAGAAUUUCGAUAACCGAUGGGGAUGCGUUCCAUUAGUUUGUUGGCGGGGUAACGGCCCACCAAGACAUCGAUGGAUAGGGGUUCUGAGAGGAAGGUCCCCCACAUUGGAACUGAGACACGGUCCAAACUCCUACGGGAGGCAGCAGUGAGGAAUAUUGGUCAAUGGACGAGAGUCUGAACCAGCCAAGUAGCGUGAAAGGAUGACUGCCCUAUGGGUUGUAAACUUCUUUUAUAUGGGAAUAAAGUGAGCCACGUGUGGCUUUUUGUAUGUACCAUACGAAUAAGGAUCGGCUAACUCCGUGCCAGCAGCUGC
Molecule: ribosomal RNA, 517 nt
Filed under: uncultured bacterium
Lineage: Bacteria
Description: bacterial SSU rRNA
Rfam family: Bacterial small subunit ribosomal RNA
Source: RNAcentral